RNAcentral lists this ribosomal RNA (460 nucleotides) under uncultured bacterium. RNAcentral describes it as "partial 16S ribosomal RNA". It matches the Rfam family "Bacterial small subunit ribosomal RNA", at positions 338 to 795 of the family's 1533-position model. The record is from RNAcentral.
CCUACGGGGUGCAGCAGUGAGGAAUAUUGGUCAAUGGGCGGAAGCCUGAACCAGCCAAGUCGCGUGAGGGAAUAAGGCCCUACGGGUCGUAAACCUCUUUUGCCGGGGAGCAAGGGCGGGGACGUGUCCCGGCCCGGAGAGUACCCGGAGAAAAAGCAUGGGCUAACCCCGUGCCAGCAGCCGCGGUAAUACGGGGGAUGCGGGGUUUAUCCGGAUUUAUUGGGUUUAAAGGGGGCGUAGGGGGGCUUUUAAGUCAGCGGUAAAAAUUCGGGGCUCAACCCCGUACGGCCGUUGAAACUGGGGGCCUUGAGUGGGUGAGAAGAAGGCGGAAUGCGUGGUGUAGCGGUGAAAUGCAUAGAUAUCACGCAGAACCCCGAUUGCGAAGGCAGCCUUCCGGCGCCCUACUGACGCUGAGGCACGAAAGUGCGGGGAUCGAACAGGAUUAGAUACCCGUGUAGUC